Brassica rapa (field mustard) is the source of this 554-nucleotide long non-coding RNA. RefSeq lists it as uncharacterized. NCBI's taxonomy places the organism in Eukaryota, Viridiplantae, Streptophyta, Magnoliopsida, Brassicales, Brassicaceae. The record is from RefSeq and is a predicted model, not a curated record.
AAAAAAGUUUCCGAGAAAUUUCAUCCCUCGGAGAAUUGUUGAUAUCCUCUCGGAAAUCACCGACGACAAGGAAGCCUCAAAAAUUUGUCGGAGAAAUUGACGGUAAACCAUCGUAAUCGUUUCCGAGACGAGAUCGACGACAACCAAUCCCACUAAUUUCUCGGACUUACUUAAGGAAUCAACUCUCAACAGAAACAUAAAUUUGUUUGGAAGAUCUGACGGGUUUGGGGAUGUUUGUUGAUGGAGUAAACCGGCGGCUCUGUUAGGAAUGGGUUGGCUUGCAAAAUUGUCUCCUCCACCACGAACUAUUCUCCUAGCAGCGUUGAUUCCGGCGGCGGCUAGAGCUUCACGGUGGCAGAUCUGGUGGACGACGGCAUUUUUUUCUUCGGUGGCUAAGGUCUUGUAUCCGGUUUUGUUUUGGUUUUUUAAAUUCCAGUUUUUGUAAACCGAUUCUAAUCUCCAAUAAGGGUGGUAUAUAUGUAUAAUGUAUUAUAUAGAGUUUAUAUAUACACAUGUUCUUUUUUUGAACUUAAAUAUAGUUAUAUACACAUGUA